Molecule: unclassified non-coding RNA, 301 nt
Filed under: uncultured Athelopsis
Lineage: Eukaryota; Fungi; Basidiomycota; Agaricomycetes; Corticiales; Corticiaceae
Description: partial contains 5.8S ribosomal RNA, internal transcribed spacer 2, and large subunit ribosomal RNA
Rfam family: 5.8S ribosomal RNA (bases 1-53)
Source: RNAcentral
GAACGCACCUUGCGCCCUCUGGUGUUCCGGAGGGCAUGCCUGUUUGAGUGUCUUGAUAUCAUCAAACCCCUUGGGUUCGCGCCCGUUGCGGUUUGGAGUUGGGGGCUUGCUGCCGCGAGGCGGCUCCCCUUAAAAUCAUCGGUUUGGCCCGCACCAUGCGGCUUGCACCUUUGGCGUUGUAUUUUCCUCGCCUUCAAUCGGUCUCGCUCGCUUCCGCGCCUCACCUCGACUUGCCCUUUGGGCGGCAGUCACUUCUUGACAAUCUGGCCUCAAAUCAGGUAGGACUACCCGCUGAACUUAA